RNAcentral lists this ribosomal RNA (492 nucleotides) under uncultured bacterium. RNAcentral's name for it is "partial 16S ribosomal RNA". It matches the Rfam family "Bacterial small subunit ribosomal RNA", at positions 29 to 507 of the family's 1533-position model. The record is from RNAcentral.
AGUGAACGCUGGCGGUAGGCCUAACACAUGCAAGUCGAACGGCAGCACAGUAAGAGCUUGCUCUUACGGGUGGCGAGUGGCGGACGGGUGAGGAAUACAUCGGAAUCUACUUUUUCGUGGGGGAUAACGUAGGGAAACUUACGCUAAUACCGCAUACGACCUACGGGUGAAAGCAGGGGAUCUUCGGACCUUGCGCGAUUGAAUGAGCCGAUGUCGGAUUAGCUAGUUGGCGGGGUAAAGGCCCACCAAGGCGACGAUCCGUAGCUGGUCUGAGAGGAUGAUCAGCCACACUGGAACUGAGACACGGUCCAGACUCCUACGGGAGGCAGCAGUGGGCAAUAUUGGACAAUGGGCGCAAGCCUGAUCCAGCCAUACCGCGUGGGUGAAGAAGGCCUUCGGGUUGUAAAGCCCUUUUGUUGGGAAAGAAAAGCAGCAGGUUAAUACCCCGCUGUUCUGACGGUACCCAAAGAAUAAGCACCGGCUAACUUCGUG